CUACGGGAGGCACCAGUCGAGAAUCUUCGGCAAUGGGCGAAAGCCUGACCGAGCGAUGCCGCGUGCGGGAUGAAGGCCCUCGGGUUGUAAACCGCUGUCAACGAGGAGGAAAUGCAAGGGGGUUCUCCCUCUUGUUUGACCUAUUCGAGGAGGAAGUACGGGCUAAGUUCGUGCCAGCAGCCGCGGUAAGACGAACCGUACGAACGUUAUUCGGAAUUAUUGGGCUUAAAGGGUGCGUAGGCUGUGCAGAAAGUUGGGUGUGAAAGCCCUCGGCUCAACCGAGGAAUUGCGCCCAAAACUACUGUGCUCGAGGGAGACAGAGGUGAGCGGAACUCAAGGUGGAGCGGUGAAAUGCGUUGAUAUCUUGAGGAACACCGGUGGCGAAAGCGGCUCACUGGGUCUCUACUGACGCUGAGGCACGAAAGCCAAGGUAGCAAACGGGAUUAGAUACCCUGGUAGUC
This 461-nucleotide ribosomal RNA is filed under the name uncultured bacterium. RNAcentral describes it as "partial 16S ribosomal RNA". It matches the Rfam family "Bacterial small subunit ribosomal RNA", at positions 339 to 795 of the family's 1533-position model. The record is from RNAcentral.